GAUGAACGCUGGCGGCGUGCUUAACACAUGCAAGUCGAACGAGAAGUGAAGACGGAAACCUUCGGGCGGAAGGCUUUAUUUCGAGUGGCGGACGGGUGAGUAACGCGUGGGUAACCUGCCUCAUACAGGGGGAUAACAGUUGGAAACGACUGUUAAUACCGCAUAAGACCACAGCACCGCAUGGUGCGGGGGUAAAAACUCCGGUGGUAUGAGAUGGACCCGCGUUCGAUUAGCCAGUUGGCGGGGUAACGGCCCACCAAAGCGACGAUCGAUAGCCGAUCUGAGAGGAUGACCGGCCACAUUGGGACUGAGACACGGCCCAAACUCCUACGGGAGGCAGCAGUGGGGAAUAUUGCAGAAUGGGGGAGACCCUGAUGCAGCGACGCAGCGUGAGUGAAGAAGUAGUUCGGUAUGUAAAGCUCUAUCAGCAGGAAAGAAAAUGACGGUACCUGGGUAAGAAGCCCCGGCUAACUACGUG
Molecule: ribosomal RNA, 478 nt
Filed under: uncultured bacterium
Lineage: Bacteria
Description: partial 16S ribosomal RNA
Rfam family: Bacterial small subunit ribosomal RNA
Source: RNAcentral